GCCAGCAUGGCAUAGAGGCUUGAGUGUUGGACUACAACUCUGGAGACCAGGGUUUGAUUCCCAGCUUGGCC
This is a non-coding RNA of Phrynosoma platyrhinos (Desert horned lizard), 71 nucleotides long. Lineage: Eukaryota; Metazoa; Chordata; Lepidosauria; Squamata; Phrynosomatidae. The record is from the annotation of a GenBank genome assembly.